RNAcentral lists this ribosomal RNA (450 nucleotides) under uncultured bacterium. Its description in RNAcentral is "partial 16S ribosomal RNA". It matches the Rfam family "Bacterial small subunit ribosomal RNA", at positions 330 to 794 of the family's 1533-position model. The record is from RNAcentral.
GCCAGACUCCUACGGGAGGCAGCAGUGGGGAAUAUUGCACAAUGGGGGAAACCCUGAUGCAGCGACGCCGCGUGAGCGAAGAAGUAUUUCGGUAUGUAAAGCUCUAUCAGCAGGGAAGAAAAAAAUGACGGUACCUGAGUAAGAAGCACCGGCUAAAUACGUGCCAGCAGCCGCGGUAAUACGUAGGGAGCAAGCGUUGUCCGGAAUUACUGGGCGUAAAGGGCGCGUAGGUGGGCGCUUAAGUCAGGUGUGAAAACUCCGGGCUCAACCUGGAGACUGCACUUGAAACUGGGUGUCUUGAGGGCAGGAGAGGAAAGUGGAAUUCCUAGUGUAGCGGUGAAAUGCGUAGAUAUUAGGAGGAACACCAGUGGCGAAGGCGACUUUCUGGACUGUACCUGACGCUGAGGCGCGAAAGCAUGGGGAGCGAACAGGAUUAGAUACCCUGGUAAC